UUAAGCAUAUCAAUAAGCGGAGGAAAAGAAACUAACAAGGAUUCCCCUAGUAACUGCGAGUGAAGCGGGAAAAGCUCAAAUUUAAAAUCUGGCGGUCUUUGGCCGUCCGAGUUGUAGUCUAGGAGAAGCGUCUUCCGCGUUGGACCGUGUACAAGUCUCUUGGAACAGAGCGUCAUAGAGGGUGAGAAUCCCGUCUUUGACACGGACUACCAAUGCUUUGUGAUGCGCUCUCAAAGAGUCGCGUUGUUUGGGAAUGCAGCGCAAAAUGGGAGGUGAAUUCCUUCUAAAGCUAAAUAUUGGCGAGAGACCGAUAGCGAACAAGUACCGUGAGGGAAAGAUGAAAAGCACUUUGGAAAGAGAGUUAAACAGUACGUGAAAUUGCUAAAAGGGAAACGCUUGAAGUCAGUCGCGUCGUCYGGAACUCAGCUUUGCUUCGGCUUAGUGCACUUUCCGGUUGACGGGCCAGCAUCGAUUUUGACCGCUGGAAAAGGGCUGGAGGAAUGUGGCACCUUCGGGUGUGUUAUAGCCUUCAGUCGCAUACAGCGGUUGGGAUCGAGGAACKCAGCGCGCCUUAUGGCYGGGGUUCGCCCACAUUCGCGCUUAGGAUGCUGGCAUAAUGGCUUUAAACGACCCGUCUG
This 638-nucleotide ribosomal RNA is filed under the name Lyomyces vietnamensis. RNAcentral describes it as "partial 28S ribosomal RNA". It matches the Rfam family "Eukaryotic large subunit ribosomal RNA", at positions 34 to 655 of the family's 3401-position model. Lineage: Eukaryota; Fungi; Basidiomycota; Agaricomycetes; Hymenochaetales; Schizoporaceae. The record is from RNAcentral.